GACGAACGCUGGCGGCGUGCUUAACACAUGCAAGUCGAGCGAGGCUCCUUCCUUCGGGAGGGAUGCCCUAGCGGCGAACGGGUGAGUAACACGUGGGCGAACCUCGCCUCUAGCACUGGGAGUAACUCCGGGAAACCGGGGCGUAAUACCGGAUACGACCUCUGAGGGCAUCCUCCGGAGGUGGAAAGCAUUGUGGCUAGAGAUGGGCCCGCGGCCUAUCAGCUUGUUGGUGGGGUAANGGCCUACCAAGGCAACGAUGGGUAGCUGGUCUGAGAGGACGAUCAGCCACACUGGAACUGAGACACGGUUCAGGACUCCUACGGGAGGCAGCAGUGGGGAAUAUUGGACAAUGGGCGCAA
Molecule: ribosomal RNA, 359 nt
Filed under: uncultured bacterium
Lineage: Bacteria
Description: bacterial SSU rRNA
Rfam family: Bacterial small subunit ribosomal RNA
Source: RNAcentral